UGGGGAAUAUUGCACAAUGGGCGCAAGCCUGAUGCAGCCAUGCCGCGUGUAUGAAGAAGGCCUUCGGGUUGUAAAGUACUUUCAGCGGGGAGGAAGGCGAUAAGGUUAAUAACCUUGUCGAUUGACGUUACCCGCAGAAGAAGCACCGGCUAACUCCGUGCCAGCAGCCGCGGUAAUACGGAGGGUGCAAGCGUUAAUCGGAAUUACUGGGCGUAAAGCGCACGCAGGCGGUCUGUCAAGUCGGAUGUGAAAUCCCCGGGCUCAACCUGAGAACUGCAUUCGAAACUGGCAGGCUAGAGUCUUGUAGAGGGGGGUAGAAUUCCAGGUGUAGCGGUGAAAUGCGUAGAGAUCUGGAGGAAUACCGGUGGCGAAGGCGGCCCCCUGGACAAAGACUGACGCUCAGGUGCGAAAGCGUGGGGAGCAAACA
Molecule: ribosomal RNA, 427 nt
Filed under: uncultured bacterium
Lineage: Bacteria
Description: partial 16S ribosomal RNA
Rfam family: Bacterial small subunit ribosomal RNA
Source: RNAcentral